GCAUUAGUAGUUCAGUGGUAGAAUUCUUGCCUUCCAUGCAGGAGACCCAGGUUCAAUUUGCGGCCGGUGCA
RNAcentral lists this transfer RNA (71 nucleotides) under Loxodonta africana (African savanna elephant). It matches the Rfam family "tRNA". Rfam says of the family: Transfer RNA (tRNA) molecules are approximately 80 nucleotides in length. Their secondary structure includes four short double-helical elements and three loops (D, anti-codon, and T loops). The record is from Rfam by way of RNAcentral. Lineage: Eukaryota; Metazoa; Chordata; Mammalia; Proboscidea; Elephantidae.